GGAAGGUUGUAGCACGAUGGUAAGACAUCUGCUUUGAAUGCAGAAGGUGCCCGGUUCAACUCCUGGCACUUCCA
This is a non-coding RNA of Podarcis lilfordi (Lilford's wall lizard), 74 nucleotides long. NCBI's taxonomy places the organism in Eukaryota, Metazoa, Chordata, Lepidosauria, Squamata, Lacertidae. The record is from the annotation of a GenBank genome assembly.